UAAACGACUCUCGGCAACGGAUAUCUCGACUCUCGCAUCGAUGAAGAACGUAGCGAAAUGCGAUACUUGGUGUGAAUUGCAGAAUCCCGUGAACCAUCGAGUCUUUGAACGCAAGUUGCGCCCGAAGCCAUUAGGCUGAGGGCACGUCUGCCUGGGCGUCUCA
Molecule: ribosomal RNA, 163 nt
Filed under: Pyrenaria jonquieriana subsp. multisepala
Lineage: Eukaryota; Viridiplantae; Streptophyta; Magnoliopsida; Ericales; Theaceae
Description: 5.8S ribosomal RNA
Rfam family: 5.8S ribosomal RNA
About the family: 5.8S ribosomal RNA (5.8S rRNA) is a component of the large subunit of the eukaryotic ribosome.
Source: RNAcentral